CCUACGUGAGGCAGCAGUGGGGAAUCUUGCGCAAUGGGCGAAAGCCUGACGCAGCGACGCCGCGUGAGGGAUGAAGGUCUUCGGAUCGUAAACCUCUGUCAGCAGGGAAGAACGGUCACUGUGCUAAUCAGCAGUGAAUUGACGGUACCUGCAAAGGAAGCACCGGCUAACUCCGUGCCAGCAGCCGCGGUAAUACGGUGGGUGCGAGCGUUAAUCGGAAUUCCUGGGCGUAAAGCGCUCGUAGGCGGUAUGUCAAGGCAAGGGUGAAAUCCCCGCGCUCAACGGGGGAACUGCCUUUGAAGCUGGCAAACUGGAGUGUGUGAGAGGAUAGUGGAAUUCCAGGUGUAGGAGUGAAAUCCGUAGAUAUCUGGAGGAACAUCAGUGGCGAAGGCGACUAUCUGGCACAUAACUGACGCUGAGGAGCGAAAGCGUGGGUAGCAAACAGGAUUAGAUACCCUUGUAGUC
This 465-nucleotide ribosomal RNA is filed under the name uncultured bacterium. RNAcentral describes it as "partial 16S ribosomal RNA". It matches the Rfam family "Bacterial small subunit ribosomal RNA", at positions 338 to 795 of the family's 1533-position model. The record is from RNAcentral.